This 305-nucleotide ribosomal RNA is filed under the name uncultured bacterium. Its description in RNAcentral is "bacterial SSU rRNA". It matches the Rfam family "Bacterial small subunit ribosomal RNA", at positions 338 to 640 of the family's 1533-position model. The record is from RNAcentral.
CCUACGGGGCGCAGCAGUGAGGAAUAUUGGUCAAUGGGAGGAAUCCUGAACCAGCCAUGCCGCGUGCAGGACGACGGCUCUACGAGUUGUAAACUGCUUUUGUACCGGGGUAAAAUGCCUUACGAGUAGGGUUUUGAAAGUACGGUACGAAUAAGGAUCGGCUAACUCCGUGCCAGCAGCCGCGGUAAUACGGAGGAUCCAAGCGUUAUCCGGAUUUAUUGGGUUUAAAGGGUGCGUAGGCGGAUUGAUAAGUUAGAGGUGAAAUGUCCGAGCUUAACUCGGGAACUGCCUCUAAUACUGUUGAU